UUUUUUUUUUUUUCUUUUUUUUUUUCUUCUGCUUUUGGGUGGUUUUGGUAUUUUUCCCUCUCUUUCCCCUACUUCUCUGGUGCUCUUCUGUCGGGAUACUUCAAUCUCGCUGGGGCAAACGCCGCGUUUGAAAAGCCGACAGAAAUGUUGCAACGUCCCUUGUGGCAACGCAUUCUAUUUAUUUAUUUUUAUUUUUUGCCUUUUGCAAGGGCAAAGAGGAAGGGUAGGAAAAAACCCACCGUGAUCAAUACCAGCUUAAAUACCCAUCUGCGAGCCCCUGGGCUGCGGGAGGCAGGAGAGGGGAGAGCGCCCGCCCGCCCGCCGCCGCUGCCCGCUCGGCUGUAGCUCAGCCCGAGCCCUUCCCGUACGGAUUCCGGAGGACCUGCGGCUCUGGGCGGGGAGGCGGCGGGGGCCCACGAGUUCCUUUCCCGUGCCCCCGCUACUCAGAGCAGGAGCAUUUCAACUGCUUUUCUUAAAGCUGAAUUCUUUAUAAAGGAGAAGUGACUAGAAACCCUGAGCUGGGUCCCAGGUCUUGCCUUAACUUUGUAAGGCACACUGACACACUGAGGCUGCUCCACUUAAGGUAUGGUAUGAACCAGGAGCUGAUCCCGUGGCUGUGGAAUGAGUGUUCACAUGGAGUCAUCCUGCUGUAGCUAUUGCAGCUGCUGUGUAAGCAAGUCCUAACGGACAGUCCUUGUUCCAGUGACUGUGUGACAGAUAAGACAGACAAUGGGCACAAGGAAGGCACCGCUAUCAAUGAAGGACGGAUACUGUUCAACCUGAAGGGAACAAAGAAACCUGGGCUGCUCAAGACCCCACAGAACUGUCCAGGAGUGUCCUUUGUGCCAGCUGAUUCCAGGAAUGUGACACUUUUCGAACUGUUUGUGUCAGGACUUCCUGCUUUGACACCUUUCAUUUCUGAGACUGCCUCAUCAGUCAAACCCCAGAUCUGCUGCUCCUCUCCACAAGGACUUCUGUAUGCAGCAACUCUCUGUCCUCUUUGGAUACUGAAAUGAGAUGAAAGGGCUUGAAUGUUUCUUAGCAAGAUGGAUGGAUGGAAUUAGCUUAAUCUGUUCUGAUUUUGACACCUACAAGUCAACUGACCCAAUCACCUCUUCUUCUAACAGGCUGCAAAGCAACACUCUACUAAUGUGGAAUAUUCUUUGUGAUGGAAACAGAAGCAUCAGGAAUGGGGGUUUGUAGCUUUUUUGGAAGAGUUUCUGUUACAAUUUUUAUCUUUAAUAUCAACACUUUAAAUAAGGAUAUUUAUAUGUUAAAAUAAAAACAUUUUUUGCCCUGAAAUACUGGAAUACGCCUCCCCAGCCUCUUCCUACCUCAGCUCUGCCACUGUGAAGAGAACCCAUCCAUGGAUUUUAAAGUCAGGACAAGUCAGAACUUCUAACAGAGGAUGAGCACAGAACAACUGCAGUUCAUCCUGCAGCCCAGACCCCAAUGAAUGGAUCUUUUUCUUAUGUGCUGUGGGAACUGCCUAUAGAAAUAUCUAAGAAACUGAUCCAGGGUUUUAUAACCUUGUGUCUUGUCCCUUGUGGCAAGCUGCAAGUUGCCUUCUUAUCCUGGCCUCCAUGGACAAAGCCCUCCAUGUGUGUGAAAUAGGAGAGCACCGUGGUUUGGUGGUGGUUUUGUCAGAUCUGUUCCCAAACAGCUCUCCCAGCUGCCACACUGCCUGUCAGAGGAGGGUUGGUGCAGCAGAGGUCUGUAGGGUCACUUGGGUUCACAUGCAGGAUCCCUUGUGCACAUCCUGCAGUGGGAUCCAGCCCUGCUGAUGCCUCUUUAACACUUGAGGACAUUGUCAGCAAACCAAAGUGCAUUUCUUAGUGCCCACACCAAGCCACUUCAAGAACAAAUCUGACUAGACUGAAUUAUUUUUAUUUUUAAAGUUCAGUGCCACUUAACACCGCCAAUUUAGCUUAAAAAAAAAAAAAAAAAGCAGAAAUACCUAAAAUAAAAGUGUUUUGAAAAGUAUUUGCAGGCAAUUAUGGGUUUUUUUCAGACUCAGUCUCAGGUGAUAUCCUCACCUUCUACUGCUGCUAAGCACUGCCCCAGACUUCCUUCAGGUUGCCAUCCCCAGUCUGUGCUAAGCAUCAUGAACAUAAAGAGAGAUCCUGCUGAAAUAAAACACAUUGGUCCUCACAUGCACACAAUUUUUUCUGUGAAAAACAGGUAACAGCAAAUGAACUAAGCCUCAGCCACUGAUGCUGCUUUGCCCAUCCUUGGAAGGUGCAGGGAGUCUGGUUUGGUGACAGUGUUACCACUGCCCACAGAGAACUGACCCGAGACAGCACAGAGCAAAUGGUGUAGGGUGAGAUUCCAAAAGGGAAAAGGGGGAAAAAAAAAAAAA
Molecule: long non-coding RNA, 2359 nt
Filed under: Taeniopygia guttata (zebra finch)
Lineage: Eukaryota; Metazoa; Chordata; Aves; Passeriformes; Estrildidae
Description: lncRNA (ENSTGUG00000019781.1)
Source: RNAcentral